RNAcentral lists this ribosomal RNA (862 nucleotides) under Bacillus stratosphericus. Its description in RNAcentral is "bacterial SSU rRNA". It matches the Rfam family "Bacterial small subunit ribosomal RNA", at positions 61 to 905 of the family's 1533-position model. Lineage: Bacteria; Bacillati; Bacillota; Bacilli; Caryophanales; Bacillaceae. The record is from RNAcentral.
GUCGAGCGGACAGAAGGGAGCUUGCUCCCGGAUGUUAGCGGCGGACGGGUGAGUAACACGUGGGUAACCUGCCUGUAAGACUGGGAUAACUCCGGGAAACCGGAGCUAAUACCGGAUAGUUCCUUGAACCGCAUGGUUCAAGGAUGAAAGACGGUUUCGGCUGUCACUUACAGAUGGACCCGCGGCGCAUUAGCUAGUUGGUGAGGUAACGGCUCACCAAGGCGACGAUGCGUAGCCGACCUGAGAGGGUGAUCGGCCACACUGGGACUGAGACACGGCCCAGACUCCUACGGGAGGCAGCAGUAGGGAAUCUUCCGCAAUGGACGAAAGUCUGACGGAGCAACGCCGCGUGAGUGAUGAAGGUUUUCGGAUCGUAAAGCUCUGUUGUUAGGGAAGAACAAGUGCAAGAGUAACUGCUUGCACCUUGACGGUACCUAACCAGAAAGCCACGGCUAACUACGUGCCAGCAGCCGCGGUAAUACGUAGGUGGCAAGCGUUGUCCGGAAUUAUUGGGCGUAAAGGGCUCGCAGGCGGUUUCUUAAGUCUGAUGUGAAAGCCCCCGGCUCAACCGGGGAGGGUCAUUGGAAACUGGGAAACUUGAGUGCAGAAGAGGAGAGUGGAAUUCCACGUGUAGCGGUGAAAUGCGUAGAGAUGUGGAGGAACACCAGUGGCGAAGGCGACUCUCUGGUCUGUAACUGACGCUGAGGAGCGAAAGCGUGGGGAGCGAACAGGAUUAGAUACCCUGGUAGUCCACGCCGUAAACGAUGAGUGCUAAGUGUUAGGGGGUUUCCGCCCCUUAGUGCUGCAGCUAACGCAUUAAGCACUCCGCCUGGGGAGUACGGUCGCAAGACUGAAACUCAAA